This 75-nucleotide transfer RNA is filed under the name Nitriliruptor sp. Its description in RNAcentral is "tRNA-Gln". It matches the Rfam family "tRNA". Rfam says of the family: Transfer RNA (tRNA) molecules are approximately 80 nucleotides in length. Their secondary structure includes four short double-helical elements and three loops (D, anti-codon, and T loops). Lineage: Bacteria; Bacillati; Actinomycetota; Nitriliruptoria; Nitriliruptorales; Nitriliruptoraceae. The record is from RNAcentral.
UGGGGGGUGGUGUAACCGGCAACACGCCAACCUUUGGAGUUGGAAUCCAGGGUUCGAUCCCCUGCCCCCCAGCCA